This 503-nucleotide ribosomal RNA is filed under the name uncultured bacterium. RNAcentral's name for it is "partial 16S ribosomal RNA". It matches the Rfam family "Bacterial small subunit ribosomal RNA", at positions 30 to 523 of the family's 1533-position model. The record is from RNAcentral.
AUUGAACGCUGGCGGCAGGCUUAACACAUGCAAGUCGAGCGGGGUGAUGGUGCUUGCACUAUCACUUAGCGGCGGACGGGUGAGUAAUGCUUAGGAAUCUGCCUAUUAGUGGGGGACAACAUCUCGAAAGGGAUGCUAAUACCGCAUACGUCCUACGGGGGAAAGCAGGGGAUCACUUGUGACCUUGCGCUAAUAGAUGAGCCUAAGUCGGAUUAGCUAGUUGGUGGGGUAAAGGCCUACCAAGGCGACGAUCUGUAGCGGGUCUGAGAGGAUGAUCCGCCACACUGGGACUGAGACAUGGCCCAGACUCCUACGGGAGGUAGCAGUGGGGAAUAUUGGACAAUGGGGGGAACCCUGAUCCAGCCAUGCCGCGUGUGUGAAGAAGGCCUUAUGGUUGUAAAGCACUUUAAGCGAGGAGGAGGCUCUUUUGGUUAAUACCCAGAAUGAGUGGACGUUACUCGCAGAAUAAGCACCGGCUAACUCUGUGCCAGCAGCCGCGGUAA